UGGUAGGUACCGCACUCUACUGUCUGCACGGCUGAGGUUUUCUUUUGGAUUCUUCUCCAGCUUACGCCUAAGGUUCAGCGCUCGUUGCUCUGCCACCUUUCUAUUGUUGGCCAUCUUCCCGUCCUUGUUCCUCAGUGGCAGAUCAAUGCUGUAAUCUCCUUUUACAAGUGUAGCUGACUCUGAGGCUAUCUCGAGGAAUUGUCGUCCUCUCUGUACAUUUCCAGUUUCUCAUCCUUCUUGUACUCAGGGAAGUCGCCGUGACCUGCUGUCUCCAGAGUUCCUCCAGUCUGGUAACUUGUACCUGGUUCGCUGAAACCUGUAUUAGCCCGCAUGCUGAGCUGUGGCCAACAUUUUCCCCCCACUGGCGAUGAACCGCUGGGGUUCAAUGGCCUUGUGUCCGUUCCUCCCAAUAUGCAGACCUAUCCCUGCAUCUAUUUUUUGUAGUUGUACCUGCUGCAGGUAGGACCGCCCAACCAGUUCCUCCUGUGAUGGAAUGUUAUCUUUGGUUGCAGGAAUUAUUUUCUGGGAAUAUGUAUCUGGGAGCCCCAGGAAAUUGUUUGCGCCUAGGCUACUCACUUCCAAGCCAGAUACUAUUUGAGUAUCGGCCCACCUCCAUUCCUCCUUGGUCUUUACGGUCAGCGGCGAGAUAGGUGUCUUUCUGCCUGUGAUAUUAAGCUCUUUCAUCAGGUCCUCUGUAAAGAAACAAGAGGUACUGCCGGAGUCUAUGAAACCGCAAGUAGUUGUUAUCUAUUGGCUUUUGUUGCUCUUGACUUGGACUGGUACUAUUCCCAAGAUCUUUCCGCUGUUUUUGGUAUUUGUUGCUCUGCAGGUCGUUGGGCCUGAUGGCCCCACGUCGCUUGUGCGCGACUCUCCUUUGAAAUUUACCCCCUGAUUCAUCACCAUGUCCCUUGUUUCUGGCUUUGAUCUGGGACUCGCUGUUUGGUCAAUGACGACAGUUGCGCCAUUGAUAAUGCCUCUCUUGUCAUUGCCUUUCCUUUGCAGCCUCUCGUCCACCGGGCCUCUAGCUUGUCUCCUCAGGCCAGCGUUCCUUCCCUUGCCAUGUAUUGAGUCCACGGCUUUAUCGGCCUUUCUGUCAACAAAGUCCACAAGGUCAUGGAGCUUAACUCUGCGUCUUUCAUAAAUCUUGAUAUUGUGGGCCUCUGUAUGCCACUCUUCCUUCAGCUCGCACGGGAGCUCUGGGCGAUAUCUUGUAUGUUACGCGCGUUGUUAAACGUAUCCAUGAACUCCAUGUUCUUCAUAGCACUACAGCAUACUGAGAGAUAGAGGCCGAAGAACUGGAGACCCUUUCCGUUGUCUGAGUUUAUCACAGGCCAACCUAAUGCCUUUUCCAAAUAAUCGUCUACGAUGUUCAUGGGAUCCCCAAAAUGUUUUUCCCGAGGACUCCAUGCUUGAUGAUAGCCUUCCUCGGGAUCAAGCAAUAAACAGUUUGCUAUUAUCUCAUGGGGCCAUCCCUUAGUAGACUUCGCCAAGAGGGUUUGGUGGUUCUCUUCGGAACCGGGGAACGUUCUGAGGGUUCGGUGGUUGUUCUCCCUGGAACACGGGUAUGUUCUGAGGGGGCAGAGGUUGACGUCUGGGAGCCAAGUAGCUGUUCGUUCCGCAACUGCUUUGAUAUGAGGUGCCAACCCUUUCAUGUGCUUCAUGGACUCCUGAGUCUGUCAGCUGCAGCUGCUAUGGCGCCUUGAAUUUCCCCUUCCUCUUUCUCCCAUUUGAAUUCCUUUUUUAAUCUUGCGACCCUUUCCUGUAGCUCCAGCUUUUUCGCUUUGUAUUUGUGCUUCCAUUUCCAGCCCUUCCCUUUGGAUUUGUGCUUCCCUUCCCUGCCUUUCGCUUUGUAUUUUAAUAUCAUGUGUAAGUGAACAUUAACUAAAACGGUCAGUUGGGUGUAGUGAUGCAGGAAUCACAAUAUCUCACUUUUGGUAGGAGAUGUGCUUGGGCAAACAAAGCCGACUGCUUCAGCACAUUUGCAUCAUGAGCACACCCUGGCAUCAUGCAGUUAAUGUUCCAAAACCUACAAGAAAUAUUAUAAACACAUGGCAAACACUAAUGACAUUUUACAGAUUAACCACAUCAGAAGCACGUUUGGGGAAUGUGGUGUUUCUGCUCGAACCGGUGUGCUAUAGCACAGGCCUCCUCUGCGGUGGGUGCCUUGAUAAGGUCACGCAUAACCGGGGAAACCAUUCCCUUGCAGAACGUGUAGAAAAAAAAAUUCUUGACGGUGGACUUAUGAACACCAAACUGGUUAGCGAUGACCCUAUAUUCUGCGCAACUGGCGAGCUUGUACAGUAAAAUGGUGACCCUCAUCUGCAACAGAAUUGGCGCUCUUACAGUCUCUUCCUGGGGUUUCAAAACUCAUUCCAUCAUCCCGCAUAUCUUGUCAGAAAAUUAUUUUAAAACCACCCUCUCCCACCAGCCUUUGCUCCUGACCCACAUCCAGCAUGUCCGAGAGGCCCGUGGUAGUAGCGAUGGAACAAGGUGGAGCUACGAAGUAGAGAUCUCGUUAAAGUUUGCAAAACCAGACAGCGUCUUCUACUACCUUCUAACAUCACCAUUAAAAAUGACAGAUAGGGUACAUCUUGCCUGUACGAGGCAUAGAGAAUGUAAGAAUUGUACAGUGCUGAAAAGUCAUCCAUGUUCUCCCCGCUUUCCAACCUAUUGUUGUGAUUUUGACAAAGUUCAACCGGAAGAAAAGCCUUAUUCCGACCAGUUGUACGUUGGCAGAGCGCAACCUACUGUACCGGAGGGUAAGACCAUACCCCGGUUACUGCUGUGCUGAGUGAGAGCAAGGAAGUCCAGGGACAGCGGGGAUACGUAGCCAGAGAUGAACUCGGCCUUGCGGGUGGCAGACUGGCAGUGCCACAGUCCCCCUGUGACAAGGUGCUAGAAGGUAGAUAAGAUUAUGGUGCUGUAGUGAACAGGUACAUGGUCUAAAGUAUCUAUGAGGAGAGUAGCAUGCAGGAAUGGAAAAUACACACAUGAUACAUGAAAGAAAAGUCAAAAUCAAAAGAAACUUCGCUCCCACUUGUCCUCCCACGAGGAGGCUUCAUCUGCCACUUAAGCUGCCGCUUCAAACAAAUGCUGGCUUUUCUGCACAAGUUCUUACCACUCCCCCAAAAUUAGUUAGGUAUUCAAAACACCUGGUGAGAAAGUAAUUGAAACUAUAUCUACUGAGAGACAGCUGAACUGCAACAGUUUUCCACCUUAGUCAGUGGGGAUAGAUUUCUAAAAUGGAUCUAAAGCAACAAUAAACUUUACUUAGAUUAAAUCAACAAGGACAAUUUGUUGAACCUAAAACAGGCAAAGCACUGUAAAGCAGGGAAAUGCCAGUUUCAGAAACUAGAUAAACUCAAUCACAGCAGAACACAGACCUUUUACAUACACAAAAAAAAAUCAAUUUUCUCUAUCUACAUGUGUUUUGUCUAUUUGCAUGUGUUUUCUUAGGCUGCGGUGCAUUCAGCCUCCAGGUUCACCACAGGAAACAGUUAUGAGUGAGCGAGCUCUGUGUGAGUAUGUUGAGGAGUCAAGAUACAGGAAUUUUAAUUAUUUUUGCAGUGGUGCAACUUCCUCCUCAUAGUAAAAUAUCAACUCUGGAUCCUUGUUGUCAGGUUGAAUCCUGCAGCUCACACUUCUGACAUGCUUUGCGGCACAAAUCACAUCACAUUUAAACCGUAAGCCAUAUUACUCUAGGGUUUAUAGGCUUGUAGGAAUACUAGAUACUUCCAGAAAUGUUUAUCUACAAGGCAAUAAAGGCUGACAUAUACAGUGGCUGCUUAUCUGUCGCACCUGUUUUAUGUUAAAUAUGACCUUGGUUUCAGUUAGGAGGCAACGGGUGGGUUCUUCCAUACUGUUCAAUAGGGAUCCCAUGCACUGAGAGAUAAGGACCAUGUACUAGCAUAUAUCCAUACUGUUAUAUAUAAGUACAAAAAAAAAUGGUGUGGGCUGAUGUUUCUUGCAUUGAUGUGUUUCUUGCAGUAAUGGGGUCUCUGCAGAAUUAUAGGCUGAAAACAUAAGGUUUUUAAAAUGAGACAACCAUUAUCUCCUAAAGAUAGUGCCUGCUCAUACAAAAUUAUGUUCGUAUCAAAGUAACCACCACCAACAACAAAUAAAUAACACCACAGUGUGGCCUUUUCGUGAUACUGCCCUGUUUCAUAUCAAUGUAAUGUGAGAGGAAACUGCAAUGUAUUAAUUUCCAGUGAAGUCAGGCAUGGCAACAGUCUCAAUGUCUGCCCGCGGGAAAUUACAAACUUAAUGAAAGGGAAAUAAUAAGCCAUUUAAAAAAAACUACUAUUGUAAAAUCUCCGUCCACACUAGCCAUGUCUCAUCCCACUCAUCACUUAUGAAUUUAAUAAUUAAACUUUUCUGACUUGCCACACUGAUGGAUUCCUGCACUUCUCUGCUUCUGCUGACACUCAACAUUAAUGAUGUCAAGUGAGAAAUAUGGAGCCAGUUGAAAUUUCUUUUGAAUCAGCACACCUCUGCUACACUGACAUGUAAUGCAUAUGGCAGGGAUCACUAAUAGUCGGACCGCUGUUCGGAUCCGGACCCAGAUUUCGUCCUAUCUGGGCCAGGACCCACAACUGAUACAUCAUUGAGAAUUAGCAAAUGUUGACGAGCCGUUUCCAUUUUACUGGUGGAGUGUUAGCCGUCACUACACUGGUGUUGAUCUUUUCCUGCUUGGCAUCCAGCAUAGUCGUGAAGCAGGGGACAAGUUUCACUUUUUUCAGAGCUAAAGCGCUGUCUCGCUCCGGGACCAACCCCCUUACUCUCCGUAACAGCGUGACUUCUCUUUAAACUUGAAGGCGCUGACAGAUCGCAAUUUCACUUCUGCAGCCAACUCUCCCUGUCGCUCGUUGUUUUGUUGUGCAUGUGUAGCAGUGGUUCAGAUAGUCAAGUGCUGUGCUGUACAGUGUGAGUAGACCUAACUCGCGGACACGUUGACAGCCUUGCUAGCGGCUAAUGCUAGCCCUCACAAGUUUGAGCUCCCUUGGCAGUGUGCCUUUCUCCCAUGCCAGUGGUUACGGGUUCGAAGCCACCCUGUGACACUUGAUUGAGUGAUCCCCCCUCUGCUUUUUUCCCAAAUUGCACCCUGCACACACUCACUGAUGUUGAAAGAAUAUUAUUAUUUCCGUGUCCUGUUUUCUCCACCCGUGUUUUGUGUUCUGAGACAGCUAAAAUGCUCAUUUUUAAAGCUGUAUGUUUUGUUUUAUUUUACUUUAAGCGAGAAGAGAACAUUAUUAGAGUACUUGUUAUUAAUAAUUCCUCCAGUUCAAUAUGAAAAUUGGAAAUUAACAUUGUUGAAAUGUUAUUGAAACGCAGGCCUUUUUCUUUAUUAAAUUUGACAGUCAGUUGUUGAUAAUUAGGCACCCAGCAUACCUUAAUAUGGCACUGAAUCAUAACGCAAGUUAUACAUUAUGACAUUAUGGUUCUGGACCUUUGCUUGAGGUAAAUUUCUCCAACUGGACCUCCCUGAAUUUGAAUUGAAUACCCCUGGCAUAUGGUGUAGGAAGAAGACAUGUGGUUUACUGGCAGCUCCUUGUAGCAUUUGUGGACAUUUCUAUCUCCUCAGUUAAAGUAAAAAAUAUAUGAUACUAUGAUGUAAACAUCCAGUUCUGAAAACAUAAUUCCACUGUAGAAGGGGGAUCAGCAACAAGUCAAGUCAGUUUUAUUGAUAUAGCAUAAAAUCACAAAUUCACCUUGAAAUAUAGAACCUCUAUUGUUAUUCACCUUCGAUACAGAACCCGUACGGUUUCUAAUAGUGGUCAAAAAGAUUUUGUUCAGAGACCGGGACACUUACCCAUCAGUUUUGGUCCUGCCCUAAAUUAGACUCUUUCUGGCACCUUGUAUUCGACUAUAUAACUGAAGCAUUCAAUAGAACUAUAGCUCCAGACCCGCUUCUGGCCAUCUUUGGUUCAGUAGUUAAAAAUCGAUCUAUUGAAAAGUACCUAGGGCAAGCAAUUCCCUAUGCACAUUGCUGGCAAAAACGCUUUAUUUUACAAGGCUGGAUAUCCAAUGCUAGUCCUUCGUUUCAGCAAUGGCUCAGAGACCUGGGAAAUAAACUACAAAUGGAGAGAUUGGGAUGCAAGAUGGCAAACAAGCAUACUACUUUUUUGAAAAUUUGGCAACCCCUCCUUGAUAAAUGGUUGACUACCUCCAAUUUUAAAGUCUGAAAGUAGUCUUUAUUUUCCAACAGUAUGGUGCAGUGCAGUGUACUAUCUCUUCCAGCCGGUCCACCUUCAUUUUAGAGUUUCUCUUGGUAUCGUUUAACCCUGCAUGAGGAGCUGAAAGAUGAGUCUUGUAACCUGGGCUCACUUCGGUAUCCCAGAGGGAUUGUGUGGCAUUACUUUCUCCCUGUCACUGCUCUGUGAGGGUCAGAUCUCAAUGGUUAACUUCACCCAGGAGGUCCCCCAGCUCCUGCCAGACACAUUCAAGCAAUGGACAGUAAAGUAGGGGACAGUAAAGGAUCAAUAAAGUACAUCUAUCUAUCUAUCUAUCUAUCUAUCCAUCUUUUGAAUUUUAAUAAUACAAGUGUUGUUGUCAUUGCUUGUUGAAACGUAAAUAAGUCGCUUGAAAUAAUUCUCAUUCAACCUCAAAUAUAGAGUUGUGUGUGGAUGUAAAAGUCUGAAAAAAGGUGCAUAUAGUCUAUGUCGUCAUGCAUUACAGUAAGUGUCUUGGGUAUCACAUGGAUCAAGAGUAAGAGUAUGUGCACUGUCAGCUUGUAUGACCGAAGCAGUUGUCGAAUGUAGUCUGAGGGAACAGGGUGCCAAUAGCAACACAAAAGGUGGGGAGGAGAAUUGUUAUAGGGUCAGAGGUCAGGGGCCGCAGCAAAAAAAUACGAGGUCCUGACACUGUGUAGAAAACCUUUAUUGCCCAUUUAUACAGACGGGUGCAGCAGUUGUGACUGUGUGUGGUUUGUAACAGCAACUCCUCUGCCUUUAUUUUCCCUUCAGCUAGAUAACACGUACAGUAUAAAUAAAGCUUCUCAUGCAGCUCUCACCAUUCACCAUUUUCUCUCUCUAACUGCAUUGCUACAGUUUUCAUUACCCUGUUCACCAGCUUAGCCAGAAGCAGGGUACUGUUUUUGCCCCUCCAAAAUAACUCAACAAGGCAUGGACACAUUUUCACCAUACAUGGUGAGAAUAUUACUUGGUGAUCAGUAGGGCUGGGAUGAUAUGCUUUUGUCCUGAUUUGAUUGUAUCAUGGGACUUGGGUGCCGCUUCGAUUUGUAUUGCGAUUCUGAUUUAUUGUGAUUCUACAAGUAUUGCGAUUCAAUAAAAUAGAUUUUUGCAAUUUUA
Scophthalmus maximus (turbot) is the source of this 7307-nucleotide long non-coding RNA. RefSeq lists it as uncharacterized. The transcript is spliced from 2 exons. The record is from RefSeq and is a predicted model, not a curated record. Lineage: Eukaryota; Metazoa; Chordata; Actinopteri; Pleuronectiformes; Scophthalmidae.